Molecule: ribosomal RNA, 251 nt
Filed under: uncultured prokaryote
Description: partial 16S ribosomal RNA
Rfam family: Bacterial small subunit ribosomal RNA
Source: RNAcentral
ACGUAGGGUGCGAGCGUUAAUCGGAAUUACUGGGCGUAAAGCGUGCGCAGGCGGUGAUGCAAGACAGAUGUGAAAUCCCCGGGCUUAACCUGGGAACUGCGUUUGUGACUGCGAGACUAGAGUCCGGUAGAGGGGGGUGGAAUUCCAGGUGUAGCGGUGAAAUGCGUAGAGAUGUGGAGGAACACCGAUGGCGAAGGCAGCCCCCUGGGUAGAGACUGACGCUCAUGCACGAAAGCGUGGGGAGCAAACAG